This 107-nucleotide small nuclear RNA is filed under the name Jaculus jaculus (lesser Egyptian jerboa). The record is from RNAcentral. Lineage: Eukaryota; Metazoa; Chordata; Mammalia; Rodentia; Dipodidae.
GUGCUUGCUUUGGCAGCACAUACACUAAAAUGGGAAUGAUACAGAGAAGAAUAGCAUGGCCCCUGCGCGAGGAUGACAUGCAAAUCCACGAAGCAUUCCAUAUUUUU